This 1486-nucleotide ribosomal RNA is filed under the name uncultured prokaryote. Its description in RNAcentral is "partial 16S ribosomal RNA". It matches the Rfam family "Bacterial small subunit ribosomal RNA". The record is from RNAcentral.
AGAGUUUGAUCCUGGCUCAGGAUGAACGCUAGCGGCAGGCCUAACACAUGCAAGUCGAGGGGUAACAGGGAAGCUUGCUCCCGCUGACGAGUGGCGCACGGGUUAGUAACGCGUAUGCAACCUACCUUUAACUGGAGGAUAGCCCCGAGAAAUCGGGAUUAAUACUUCAUAACAUUAUGAAACGACAUCGUUUUAUAUUUAAAGCUCCGGCGGUUAAAGAUGGGCAUGCGUGACAUUAGAUAGUUGGUGAGGUAACGGCUCACCAAGUCCACGAUGUCUAGGGGUUCUGAGAGGAUUAUCCCCCACACUGGUACUGAGACACGGACCAGACUCCUACGGGAGGCAGCAGUAAGGAAUAUUGGGCAAUGGACGAAAGUCUGACCCAGCCAUGCCGCGUGCAGGAUGACAGCCCUAUGGGUCGUAAACUGCUUUUAUAAGAGAAGAAACCUUCGGACGUGUCCGAGGCCUGACGGUAUCUUAUGAAUAAGCACCGGCUAACUCCGUGCCAGCAGCCGCGGUAAUACGGAGGGUGCAAGCGUUAUCCGGAUUUAUUGGGUUUAAAGGGUGCGCAGGCGGCUUAUUAAGUCAGUGGUGAAAUCUCUCGGCUCAACCGAGAAACUGCCAUUGAAACUGUUAGUCUUGAGUACAGUUGUAGUGGGCGGAAUAUAGCAUGUAGCGGUGAAAUGCUUAGAUAUGCUAUAGAACACCGAUUGCGAAGGCAGCUUACUAAACUAUCACUGACGCUCAUGCACGAAAGCGUGGGGAGCAAACAGGAUUAGAUACCCUGGUAGUCCACGCCGUAAACGAUGAUAACUCGAUGUUGGCAAUACACCGUCAGCGUCCAAGCGAAAGCGUUAAGUAAUCCACCUGGGGAGUACGAUCGCAAGAUUGAAACUCAAAGGAAUUGACGGGGGCCCGCACAAGCGGAGGAGCAUGUGGUUUAAUUCGAUGAUACGCGAGGAACCUUACCUGGGCUCAAAUGUAUUUUGACAACUCCGGAAACGGAGCUUUUCUUCGGAACAAUUUACAAGGUGCUGCAUGGUUGUCGUCAGCUCGUGCCGUGAGGUGUCGGGUUAAGUCCCAUAACGAGCGCAACCCCUAUCUUUAGUUGCCAUCAGGUAAUGCUGGGGACUCUAAAGGAACUGCCUGCGCAAGCAGAGAGGAAGGUGGGGAUGACGUCAAAUCAGCACGGCCCUUAUGUCCAGGGCUACACACGUGCUACAAUGGUCGGUACAGAGGGCAGCUACCUAGCAAUAGGAUGCAAAUCUCAAAAGCCGAUCUCAGUUCGGAUCGGAGUCUGCAACUCGACUCCGUGAAGUUGGAUUCGCUAGUAAUCGUAUAUCAGCAAUGAUACGGUGAAUACGUUCCCGGGCCUUGUACACACCGCCCGUCAAGCCAUGGAAGCCGAGGGUACCUGAAGUUCGUGACCGUAAGGAGCGACCUAGGGUAAAAUUGGUAACUGGGGCUAAGUCGGAACAAGGUAGCC